AGAGUUUGAUCCUGGCUCAGAGCGAACGCUGGCGGCAUGCUUAACACAUGCAAGUCGCACGGUUGGGGCAACCUGACAGUGGCGGACGGGUGAGUAACGCGUAGGUAUCUGUCUCUGGGUGGGGGAUAACCGUGGGAAACUACGGCUAAUACCGCAUGACACCUGAGGGUCAAAGGCGCAAGUCGCCUGGAGAGGAGCCU
Molecule: ribosomal RNA, 200 nt
Filed under: uncultured bacterium
Lineage: Bacteria
Description: partial 16S ribosomal RNA
Rfam family: Bacterial small subunit ribosomal RNA
Source: RNAcentral